AAAGACUUAGUCCUAACCUUAUGGUUAAUUUUAGCUAGAUAUACACAUGCAAGUAUCCGCACCCCAGUGUGAAUGCCCCAAUUUCUUCCUUAAUCCAAGACAAAGGUGCAGACAUCAGGCACGCUCCAGCAGCCCAAGACGUCUUGCUUAGCCACACCCCCACGGGUACUCAGCAGUGAUUGACAUUAAGCAAUAAGUGAAAGCUUGACUUAGUUAUAGCUUAAUAGAGCCGGUAAAUCUUGUGCCAGCCACCGCGGUCAUACAAGAGGCUCAAAUUAACCAUUAUGCGGCGUAAAGAGUGGUAUAAUAUUAUCUAAAUAACUAGGAUCAAAUUGUAACUGAGCUGUCAUAAGCUAAAGAUGCAUUUAAGACCACCCCUCAAAAUGAUCUUAGAGCACCAUGAUCUAUCAUUUACCACGAAAGCUAGGGCCCAAACUGGGAUUAGAUACCCCACUAUGCCUAGCCUUAAAUCCUGAUGCGCUAUACUCACCAAGCCAUUCGCCUGGGAACUACGAGCACAAACGCUUAAAACCCUAAGGACUUGGCGGUGCCCCAAACCCACCUAGAGGAGCCUGUUCUAUAAUCGAUAAUCCACGAUAUACCCGACCUCCCCUUGCCACACCAGCCUACAUACCGCCGUCUCCAGCUCGCCCUUCGCUGAAGGCCCAACAGCGAGCGCAAUAGCCCCCCGCUAAAAAGACAGGUCAAGGUAUAGCUAAUGGGGCGGAAGAAAUGGGCUACAUUUUCUAAAAUAGAAUAUCCCUUAACGGAAAGAGGUGUGAAAUUCACCCCUAGAAGGCGGAUUUAGCAGUAAAAGGAGACAAUAGAGCUCUAUUUAAGCCGGCCCUGGGGCACGUACAUACCGCCCGUCACCCUCCUCACAGGCUACAAAUAAAUUAUAACUAAUGAGUCCAAAAGCCAAAGAUGAGGU
RNAcentral lists this non-coding RNA (931 nucleotides) under Trogon personatus. RNAcentral describes it as "partial 12S ribosomal RNA". It matches the Rfam family "Bacterial small subunit ribosomal RNA". Lineage: Eukaryota; Metazoa; Chordata; Aves; Trogoniformes; Trogonidae. The record is from RNAcentral.